RNAcentral lists this unclassified non-coding RNA (413 nucleotides) under Geniostoma rupestre var. rupestre. Its description in RNAcentral is "partial external transcribed spacer". Lineage: Eukaryota; Viridiplantae; Streptophyta; Magnoliopsida; Gentianales; Loganiaceae. The record is from RNAcentral.
GGAUCMUUGCUCUGAGCAUCGACGUCUUCCCGUUCGCGCCCUUUCAUUCCCGGUCCAAGGGCAGCAUUUGCCUUGACCGUCCGUCGGGUUUCCUGUGUUGCAUACCUAGUGCGAUGGUAUUCGUUUGUAAAAAUCGUCCCUCGUUCGUCUUGUGAUGCCCGUUUCGACGGGUGCUUCACGGACGAGCCGCGUAGCGCCCGUCGCGGCCCACCUCGCCCGCGUUGAUCGUGCGUCGUGUGUGGCCCGCGACGGCAUGCUCGUGCUCACGGAUGCAGUACCCGUUGAGGGUACGGGGCUACGGCCCCUCUCUACCCGAAACCAAGCGAUAUCUGGCGCACGACUGUCGCGGUCGCCUCGGGCGGGACGAUCCCACGGGUCGUGCCUCGCCCGGGCGGCGCCGACGUCCGCGAGGA